This is a long non-coding RNA of Homo sapiens (human), 445 nucleotides long. RefSeq lists it as uncharacterized. NCBI's taxonomy places the organism in Eukaryota, Metazoa, Chordata, Mammalia, Primates, Hominidae. The record is from RefSeq and is a predicted model, not a curated record. The transcript is spliced from 4 exons.
UAAGAGGGGUUGAGUCAAGAUGGCGGCCUGGAAGUAGCUCCUGCGCGCUGCUCUCACAGGGAGGAGACAAAGGGCUGGUGAACACUGACCCUACAAGCUGAUAUCUAAGAAACCGUGUCGGACUCGAUCAAGGCAGCAAGCCGACACAGAGAACAGAGAGGAGUGCAGCUGGGCAGCAGCCUGUCUGGGAUAAACGCGGAGCCAGGAGAAGCUCCCCAACACAGGAAAGGGAUUUGAACAACUUGCAAAUACACCAUGCUGGACACACUAAGAUAAGCAAAAUCAACUUCCAUCAACCAGGAGUCUGUAUAUGCUUUACCUGGUUCCUCUGCUCAGGGUGUCCAAAGGCUGUGGUCAAGAAUCCCAUCUAGGAUAUCAUAUCACAUUGAGAUGUCAAGUUUCCUUUGGCUGUUCUUGGCUGUGGCAGUUUCUCAGACUUCUGUAG